GGCGAUGAUGCAUAGCCGAGUUGAGAGACUGAUGGCCACAUUGGGACUGAGACACGGCCCAAACUCCUACGGGAGGCAGCAGCAGGGAAUCUUCCACAAUGGACGCAAGUCUGAUGGAGCAACGCCGCGUGAGUGAAGAAGGGUUUCGGCUCGUAAAGCUCUGUUGUUGGUGAAGAAGGACAGGGGUAGUAACUGACCUUUGUUUGACGGUAAUCAAUUAGAAAGUCACGGCUAACUACGCGCCAGCAGCCGCGGUAAU
RNAcentral lists this ribosomal RNA (259 nucleotides) under uncultured Lactobacillus sp. RNAcentral's name for it is "partial 16S ribosomal RNA". It matches the Rfam family "Bacterial small subunit ribosomal RNA", at positions 272 to 524 of the family's 1533-position model. The record is from RNAcentral. Lineage: Bacteria; Bacillati; Bacillota; Bacilli; Lactobacillales; Lactobacillaceae.